Molecule: long non-coding RNA, 1256 nt
Organism: Xyrauchen texanus (razorback sucker)
Lineage: Eukaryota; Metazoa; Chordata; Actinopteri; Cypriniformes; Catostomidae
Exons: 4
Source: RefSeq, a predicted model, not a curated record
AGAAGAACACGCACACAAUCUGUCGAGCGGCGGCCGUGACGGUACACUUCAACAGACCAGAAGAAGACACAGAAGAACUACGAGCAACAUUGAUACUGAUCAAUGCCGAGUUCAUGCGUAUCACAACAGUUCCAUUGGAGACAAAGUUCUUGGCGCAGUUGGACAAGCACUCCACCAAACUGUUGGAGGUCAUCAGGAGCAAGGGAGGAGUUGGGAAAGAGAAGAUUACCAGGACCUUGCAGAUUUCAGAUGAGACUGUGGAUAUCACCAUCAGAAGAGAAUGCAUCCUCAAAUCUCUGAUGAUCUACCUCGGCUGAACCUGUUGAGCACCUUAUCAAAAAAUACCAGGAAAAUGAGGUUGAAGAACUGGAGCAGACAACCAUGGCAAUCUUUAUCACUGAGAAAGAGGAUCCUCUCCAUCCACCCAAAGACAUUAAAAUUGUCAUCGAAGGAACAGAGGUCCUGAACAAGUUGCCCUCGGUUGCAACAGCUUUUGCCAUGGUCUUUGGGCUUAUAUACACACUGAACCUAAAGUAUCCGAAAAGGCUGCAGUUCACCUUUGAAUUUGUGCAAAAGGUACUAAUGGAGCUUGAUGGAAAAAAGAUGACCCCAAAAGUCUCUAGACUGACCACCCAGCUGUACAGCACAGAGUAGGCAGAGCUGAAUUGCACAGACUUGAUUUUAUUUUCCAUCUGUGGUUACAUUUUUUAAAUGUGGCUACCCAAGUUCGAUGGCUACCAGCCUCAAAGGCCGAAGUAGGCUGUGUUCUGAAAUGUUUAGAAAUGACGUUCAAGACUUUGGAUCCUUUUGUAAGAUGUUGCACUUACAAGGCUGCAUUAUCACUGCAGCAUUUACAAAUGUGGCUGCACUAGUUCGAUGGCUACCAGCCUCAAAGGCCGAAGUAGGCCAAGUGUUAUGGACAACUGGAGAGACUGAUUGCAGUGUUUUCAGCGUAUGCACAGAUUUGUACGAAAGAGUUCAGACUUUGGGCUGUGGGCUCAAGAGUUUUGUUUGAGCUAUUACAUAUAAAUUAGUUGUAUUUAAAUGUAGAUCAUACAGCUCUGUAUCAGAAACUCUCAGUGUCUUAGGAGUUCCACUGUUCACUGUCUUAGGAGCAGUUCCAGGAUUUGUCUCUGGUGUUCAGCUGAAAGAGACUGUUCAUCAUCAUAUACAUUUGAAACGGGUAUACAAUACUGUCAUAACAUUUAAUUGUAUUUUAGGAUGUUUUAUGGUGAAAUGUGUUAUGUCAGGACAAA